Pelobates cultripes (western spadefoot toad) is the source of this 308-nucleotide non-coding RNA. The record is from the annotation of a GenBank genome assembly. Lineage: Eukaryota; Metazoa; Chordata; Amphibia; Anura; Pelobatidae.
CUCCAAACACCAUAACCACUGCAGUGUGCUGUGAUGGUUUUGGUACCUGGGUGCCCUGAUGUCCUCCAUAUGCUAACAGUUUGACAACUUACCAUCUGGGAUCAGCUGCAUGCCAGUCACCUCCCCCAUUACAGCAAGAAGCUCAAUGCUUUCAGUUAGCCAUAGCGGUGCAAGGCUGAGAUCGAUCAUGUGAUCAGCAAAUGAGCUGGGCAUGUACAGCCAGGUUUAGCUCAUUAGAGCUAACAGAAGCGGGAGUGUCCAGCUGUCAAUGGAGAAAGAGACUGGCCCCUGGAAGACCCAAAGGAAAU